This 533-nucleotide ribosomal RNA is filed under the name uncultured bacterium. RNAcentral describes it as "bacterial SSU rRNA". It matches the Rfam family "Bacterial small subunit ribosomal RNA", at positions 153 to 664 of the family's 1533-position model. The record is from RNAcentral.
GAAACCGGGGCUAAUACCGGAUGAGGUCUUUCGAGCGAAAGUUUGAGAGACGAAAGGUGGCCUCUGAUAUAAGCUGCCGCUUGAGGACGGGCCCGCGUCCCAUUAGUUAGUUGGUGGGGUAAGAGCCUACCAAGGCAGCGAUGGGUAGCCGGCCUGAGAGGGUGGUCGGCCACACUGGGAUUGAGAUACGGCCCAGACUCCCACGGGAGGCAGCAGUCGAGAGGCAUUCGCAAUGGGGGAAACCCUGACGAUGCGACGCCGCGUGCGGGAUGACGGCCUUCGGGUUGUAAACCGCUGUCACACAGGCCGAAUGGCGGGUAACAAAUAGGGUCCCGUUUUGACGUAUCUGUGAGAGGAAGCUCCGGCUAAUUCCGUGCCAGCAGCCGCGGUAAUACGGAGGGAGCGAGCGUUGUUCGGAAUCACUGGGCGUAAAGGGCGUGUAGGCGGUUAUAUCAGUCGAGUGUGAAAGCUCCCGGCUCAACUGGGAGAGUGCAUUUGAAACAGUAUAACUUGAGGGUGGGAGAGGAGAGCGG